RNAcentral lists this ribosomal RNA (490 nucleotides) under uncultured bacterium. RNAcentral's name for it is "partial 16S ribosomal RNA". It matches the Rfam family "Bacterial small subunit ribosomal RNA", at positions 30 to 507 of the family's 1533-position model. The record is from RNAcentral.
AUUGAACGCUGGCGGCAGGCCUAACACAUGCAAGUCGAACGGUAACAGGAAGAAGCUUGCUUCUUUGCUGACGAGUGGCGGACGGGUGAGUAAUGUCUGGGAAACUGCCUGAUGGAGGGGGAUAACUACUGGAAACGGUAGCUAAUACCGCAUAACGUCGCAAGACCAAAGAGGGGGACCUUCGGGCCUCUUGCCAUCGGAUGUGCCCAGGUGGGAUUAGCUAGUAGGUGGGGUAACGGCUCACCUAGGCGACGAUCCCUAGCUGGUCUGAGAGGAUGACCAGCCACACUGGAACUGAGACACGGUCCAGACUCCUACGGGAGGCAGCAGUGGGGAAUAUUGCACAAUGGGCGAAAGCCUGAUGCAGCCAUGCCGCGUGUAUGAAGAAGGCCUUCGGGUUGUAAAGUACUUUCAGCGGGGAGGAAGGGAGUAAAGUUAAUACCUUUGCUCAUUGACGUUACCCGCAGAAGAAGCACCGGCUAACUCCGUG